CAGCAGCCGCCGCGGGAAUACGUAGGUGGCAAGCGUUGUCCGGAAUUAUUGGGCGUAAAGGGCUCGCAGGCGGUUUCUUAAGUCUGAUGUGAAAGCCCCCGGCUCAACCGGGGAGGGUCAUUGGAAACUGGGAAACUUGAGUGCAGAAGAGGAGAGUGGAAUUCCACGUGUAGCGGUGAAAUGCGUAGAUAUUCGGAAGAACACCAGUGGCGAAGGCGACUCGCUGGACAAGUAUUGACGCUGAGGCUCGAAAGCGUGGGGAGCGAACAGGAUUAGAUACCCCUGUAGUCCCUGUCUCUUAUAC
Molecule: ribosomal RNA, 304 nt
Filed under: uncultured bacterium
Lineage: Bacteria
Description: partial 16S ribosomal RNA
Rfam family: Bacterial small subunit ribosomal RNA
Source: RNAcentral